Babjeviella inositovora NRRL Y-12698 is the source of this 86-nucleotide transfer RNA. It matches the Rfam family "tRNA". From Rfam's summary of the family: Transfer RNA (tRNA) molecules are approximately 80 nucleotides in length. Lineage: Eukaryota; Fungi; Ascomycota; Pichiomycetes; Serinales. The record is from Rfam.
CUCGGGGUGGCCAAGUUGGCUAAGGCGCGGGACUGUAAUGUUAAAUUGAAAUCCUGAGAUCGGGUGUUCGAAUCACCCUUCCGAGA